This 381-nucleotide long non-coding RNA is filed under the name Salvia miltiorrhiza (redroot sage). RNAcentral describes it as "long non-coding RNA (SMIL_LNC006373)". The record is from RNAcentral. Lineage: Eukaryota; Viridiplantae; Streptophyta; Magnoliopsida; Lamiales; Lamiaceae.
GGAUAAGACCGUGGAGAUAUAUGUCUUUAUGUGCAUUAACGAGUUAUUAUGGGGCAUUUAAAUUAACUCCUUAUAAUUUGGUUUUGAUGUUCGUGGGGCCUUAUUUGAAUUUUGGUGAUUGAAUUUGAGUUUAUUGGUUGGUUAUGAUGAUUUACACCUUGCGAUAGUACUAUGAUUUUGCUUUGGUUUUGGGAUUGAUUUUGUGGGAUUAGGACCAUCAAGACUAAUCAAUUACUCUAAUGUUUUAGAGCACAUGAAGUACAUGCGUUACAGCACAGGAAGUACAUGAAUUAUAAUAAAUUAUUCCAACACCUGAGUCCUAGGAAGCUCGCCUACUAUUCCGGAGUAAUUUCUUAUUUUCAGGGCAUGAAGUUCUUGGGG